GAUGAACGCUGGCGGCGUGCCUAAUACAUGCAAGUCGAGCGAAUGGAUUAAGAGCUUGCUCUUAUGAAGUUAGCGGCGGACGGGUGAGUAACACGUGAGUAACCUGCCCAUAAGACUGGGAUAACUCCGGGAAACCGGGGCUAAUACCGGAUAACAUUUUGAACUGCAUGGUUCGAAAUUGAAAGGCGGCUUCGGCUGUCACUUAUGGAUGGACCCGCGUCGCAUUAGCUAGUUGGUGAGGUAACGGCUCACCAAGGCAACGAUGCGAAGCCGACCUGAGAGGGUGAUCGGCCACACUGGGACUGAGACACGGCCCAGACUCCUACGGGAGGCAGCAGUAGGGAAUCUUCCGCAAUGGACGAAAGUCUGACGGAGCAACGCCGCGUGAGUGAUGAAGGCUUUCGGGUCGUAAAACUCUGUUGUUAGGGAAGAACAAGUGCUAGUUGAAUAAGCUGGCACCUUGACGGUACCUAACCAGAAAGCCACGGCUAACUACGUGCCAGCCGCCGCAGUAA
Molecule: ribosomal RNA, 515 nt
Filed under: uncultured bacterium
Lineage: Bacteria
Description: partial 16S ribosomal RNA
Rfam family: Bacterial small subunit ribosomal RNA
Source: RNAcentral